AUGCAAUUGAUGAGUCCCAAAUAAGACGAAACGCGCUUCUUGAAU
Molecule: non-coding RNA, 45 nt
Filed under: Schistosoma mansoni
Lineage: Eukaryota; Metazoa; Platyhelminthes; Trematoda; Strigeidida; Schistosomatidae
Source: RNAcentral